GCAGGAAUAUACUCGUUCAAAAAAAAUAAUAAACUACAGGAAUAUACUCAUGUAGGAGUAUGUUUGUAAUAGUACAAAAGAUAUAACAGUACAAGGUGAUGUAAGAUAGUGGCUUCAAGCCAUUUUUACAUAGUAAUUAAGAUUAAGGACUUGCAGUCUUGCAUCAUUUCUACUAGCUUAUAGUAGCUGAUUGACUCCUUAAGCUUACUCUCCAAGCGCGAAAGCGGCAGCAUCGAAGGUGUCAGACAGCCCGGUUCCCGUCUUGAAGGUGACCUUCUCCGGCGAGGCCUCGGUGACGUAGACCUCGACGACGCUGAGCCAGAGCAGUAGCUCCUUGGUCUUCACGCCGGCGAUCUUCUUCAGCUUCCCCUUCUCGACGAACGCCGUGACCUCACCGGCGUAGGAGACGGUCUGCUUGAUCUUCUUGAAGGUGUGCUCGAUCUUCUUCUUCCUCUGCACCAGCCACAUGAACCCAGUGUCCCGGUUGUAGCCGAACUCCUCGAUGUCCUCCAAUGGCAGGAGGCCCUUGGGGAGGCCAAGUUCUUCCAGCAGCUCAAUGGACUUGUUCCUGCAGAUGGCAUCUCCAUUGAUGAUCUCCGCGCCGGAGCGGUGGCUCUCAAUUUGAGAUGCCAUUGGAUAUGUAGUUUCAGGCCAAAAAAAAUGCUUUGGUUUGUAAAUGUGUUGGUGAGAGAUUGUUGGUGAUGGAAGAUGAGAUAGUGAGUUCUGUUUAUAUAGAGUUCUCAAUUGAACACCAGCCUUUUCUGACCAUGCAGUUGAUAACUGCAAAUUAUAAUUCUGAAGCACAAAAUCCCUGACCAAGUCCACUAAUUAUGUAGUGCAUACACUUCUUCAGCAUCCCAGCAUGCACUAUACAACCAGCCAAGGAUGACUGUUAUUCAUUCAGUUAUUUAUUUUUGGGAGGAACCAGGGAUGACUUAUCUGACCAAUUAAUUAGCACUGGUCUGGUCCAAUUCAUUUGGUUCAUGAUCAGUACUAGACACUAGUGCCAUAUCCCCUAGCACCACCAAUUCAAUGUUUCCAGAAAUAGCCAUAGGAUGAUAGGAACAAAAGGCAGAUCACAAAAUCAAAGUAAUAAUAUUGGCAGCUUCAAUCAGCAAUAGAAGGCAUCUUACUCCUGUGUAAUUAUAUAGAGCUCGAAUGGUAAACUAAUGCCAUGGAGUUCCUCAUGGCAGGCAGGCUAGUUUGAUCUACUCUCUUUAAGAACAUCAAAUUCAUAGAGCCAAAUCCAUUUUAGAAUAAUAUCAAAAUCAAUCAGCACCAGAAGGCAAAGUGCUCUGCUGUCAAUGCAAUUCAAUCUUACUCCUAUAUAAUUAUAUUGAGUGAUCUCAAAUGACAAAUUAAUGCCAUGGAGUUCCUCAUGGCAGGCAGGCUAGUGUCUACUCUAUUUAGGAACAUCAAGUUCAUGCUUUAAUGAGUCAUGCUGCCCAAUCCUUUUCAGGAUGAUACGGCCUAAAACCCCAGUUCUAUUAACUGAAACUUCUACAAAAGUUUAAAUAACAGAAAAUCCAGUCAAAUCUCACAGGUUUUUAUAUUCACGAUUUCUUCAAGUUAUUAUUCAGUUUACUUUUUACUAAACCAUGUGCUCCCCAAAAUAAAAAGAACACUAAGUCAGUAACCUCUGUAUUUUCACAGUCUGAACUACUAUAGGGUAGUAGGGUCAACCACUCAAACCUUGUCACUACUCAUCAGAGCAAGGAGCCAAUAACAAAGGAUUCAAUAUAUCGGUUCAAAGUGGGGCUUCCAAAUCAUGGAUUGAGUAUUACCUCAGAUAAGAAGAGAUGUAAACUUCAAAGAUAUAUAUGCAUGGUAACGAUCAUAAGCAGUUAAAUGAGAAGAAACAAAUGUUCACUGUGUGAGCCAUCCUUUCUCAGUUGCAUUACAAACUGAAAUCAAACAUCUUAUCUGAGCACGGUCACAUAGUACUCUCUUCUUACUUCAACUCCCCAUCUUAAAAGAUAAUAAGAGGACUAGCUCUGUAAGAUACCAGAAGCUUAAUGGAUGGGUCACUGCACUUCAGUCUUCAGCUGGUUCCUCCGGCCUCCAUAUAGCAAUAUCUGAAAAUACACAAUUAUAAAACUUAUAACCAUGAAAUAGCUCAACAUCAACAUCCAAAUGAGGCAUGCAAUUUUGGAGGUAGUGCAGUCCUGUUCUGGAAUGUAUACUUAAGAAAAAUAGUAGAAUUAGAAUAAGUCAUCAAGAUAUGCCUAAGCAAUCCAGCUAAUUUCAGGAACAUUUCGUAACAUGUCGAACCAAACAAAAAACAAGGUAAGAGAAACAGAAUUUAAUACUUUAUGUGAUAUUGAAUUUUUAUAAACUCAAUGUUGUUGAGCACAGAGCACAUAUAUGGCAACUCAUACUUUUUAAGUCGCUAUAACUGAAAACUAAAGCUUACAGUCAAAUAUCCAUAAUGGCGUAAUUUUAUACUUUUACGCUGCUAACUGAAAUAAUGCCUGGUCCGAUUUAAGGGAGGCUGUACAGGAUCUAGGCUAGUACCUGAAGUGUAAAAGCUCAUGUAGGGGACGACGGUAUAGUAGCCCUCCUCACACAGCUUCUUCACUUGGCCUGAUUUGAGCUCAAUUGUGAACACACCAAUCUCUGAUGAGAUGAAAAUGGUAUGCACGCCUUCGGCGAAACCGGCCAGUUCCCACGACAACGACGGGUUACCCACCGGAUUCAGAAAGUCCAACCCAAUUACCCAGGAUUUUUUCCAUUCCUCAAUGCCAUCAUCACCCACAUACCGCGACCACAGUAGGAUGCUGCAAUCUUCCACAGUAGCAAAUCCCAGCCCACCAUAUCCUGAUUCCAUGAGGAUGCCAACCUCAUGCCCCAAUGGGGGCGGGUCGAUCUCCGAGAGCUCAUGCCUGCCAAUGUCAUACCCCAGAAUUCUCUUGCCACGCUCACAUCUGAAGUAGAGCGUGUCUUGGACGAGGAGGCCAGGCAACAUCUCAACAUAGGAAUCGAACGCAAUGGAGGCCUGCGAGCUCCACUCUCCAGUCUCCGACGAGUACACGCACGCCCAUGAGUGGUCAUCCUCUCCUGUGCCCACGAAGACGACGAGGUAGGGGCCUCCAUGGCAGUCAACAUGGCGGCAGCCGCGUGUAGCGCACAGCACGGCCCCAGUGCAGUAGAAGUCCAGGUACGGGGGCUGAGGGAAGAUGCGGUGGUCGCCGGUGGUCGGGUCCCAGACCAUGAGGUCGAUGGGAUUGAAGAGUUGGAGGAGGAGGCGGCCAUGGCGGCAAUCGAGCGCCCACCAGUAGGUGGGGAACUCGAUGCUCGGUGGAGGGAAAUCGGGGUAGAAUGGAGAGGGGGAGGUGGUGGCGACGAAGCGGGGGAUGUAGGAGCUGUUGCUGCUGUGGUCAACGUUGUGGAUGAAGCCGAGCAUGGGAGGUGUUCGGUGGAAUGCGCGGUAGCGGCGGAGGAAGGCGGGAUCGGUGAGGAGUUGACGCCAGCGCUUGCAGACGAGGGAGGCGCGGACGAGGGACGCGGGAUCGUCCGGCGGGAUGUGGAGGAGGAUCUCGUAGGUCAUGUCGUCCACCAACUCCGGCGCCGCCGCCGCCAUGCUCGCCGUCGCCGUCGCCGUCGCCGGAGCGAGGGUUUGGGAAUUUGGAGUUGGGGUGGGGUCGAGAGGAAAGAAGGCGGUGGUGGACAAGACAACCGUCUCGAGUGGGGCCCACGAGUCGAUGAGAGUCGUGUACAAUCACAGCUGCUCAUAAUAUGCUCAAUUUUAUUUAUUUAUUUAUUGGCAGGGAUAAUAUGCUCAUAUCAGUUUGAGUACAAGGGUGAAGGGUCCUUUGUUUUUGUUUGUUUUGCACCUCGAACUCUGGCACCCAAAAGAAUUUUCAGCAAUUUAAACAGCAAUGACAAUGUGCACGUUAGUCCUUAGUCACUGUUUUUUUUCUUUUCUCUUUAUGAUGAAAGGGAACAAAUAUAUAUAGGACUAUACUCGAAUGUUUGUAAUACAAAAGAGAUAAUAGUAAGUACAUGGUGACCUAAGAUAGUGGCUUUAAUCCUUUUACACAGUUGAGAUUAUGGUCUUUCAUAAUUUCUACUCCCCGAGAGCAAAAGCAGUGGCAUCGAAGUUAUCAGAGAGCCCGGUUCCAGUCUUGAAGGUGACCUUCUCCGGCGAGGCCUCGGCGACGUACACCUCGACGACGCUGAGCCAGAGCAGCAGCUCCUUGGUCUUCACGCCGGUGAUCUUCUUCAGCUUCCCCUUCUCGACGAACGCCGUGACCUCGCCGGCGUAGGAAACGGUCUGCUUGAUCUUCUUGAAGGUGUGCUCGAUCUUCUUCUUCCUCUGCACCAUCCACAUGAAUCCAGUGUCCCUGUUGUAGCCGAACUCCUCGAUGUCCUCCAAUGGCAGGAGGCCCUUGGGGAGGCCAAGUUCUUCCAGCAGCUCAAUGGACUUCUUCCUGCAGAUGGCAUCUCCAUUGACGAUCUCCGCGCUGGCACGGUGGCUCUCAAUUUGAGAUGCCAUUGGGUAUGUAGUUUCAGGUGAAGAAGUUUUAGUUUGAAAUUUGGGUUGUGUGCAAAUGGGUUGUGAGAUUGUUGUGAUGGAAGAUGAGAUGUGGGGUUCUGUUUAUAUAGAAUUGUGAAAGUUUGUUCAUUCUGACAAGAUUUGUUCAGACUGUAGAGGCAAAGAUUAUGGACUUUGGAUUUCAAGUCGUGAAGAACAAAGCCUCGAGUCAUGCCACAACUGUACCCCAGCCUUUUCUGACCAUACCAUGCAUAUUCACUCUGACGUAGCACAAAGUUCCUGACCAAGUCCAUCCACUGAUGAAUACUACACACUUCAGCAUCUCAGCAAGCAAUGUUACACAGCACGGUUAUGGAUGUACGCUGGGCAGCCAGCCAGAGAUGACUUAUCUGACCAAUUAGCACUGGUCCGGUCCAAUUCGCUGGGCUCAUGAUCUAGCAUGAAUACUACUUCCCGUUCUUCGAAAACAAGCUAACAUUCAAGUUUCACACACUUUCAUACAACUUCAGUCCAUGUAAUUUUGCACAGUACAGGUUCGUAAAGUAUGCUCACUUUACAAGUACCAACUAAUACAAUUUCAAGAGAGAAAUUUUACAAACCUGCUAAGCCUAAGAUGAAUGCACAAGCGAGUCAAAGUAAUGCAAAUGAAUAGCUGUAAUUACAAGAUUUGGCUCUAUUCUGAUCACUUCCAAUAUUCUUGAAGUCUACCACCUUUAGUUCCAUGUAAGCUUUUGAUUCUCUCCUGGGAGAGCUCUCAUCUUCCCUUGCGAACUCUGAAUUUCUUGCUCUUCAACUCUUAACUUUCUGUCUUGAAAGAAGAUGCACGGCACAUACAAAGCGAGGCACUGACCCAUCAUGUGGCUGAUCACUUCUUCUUGUUACACUUGUUCGCCUCGAAGUAUCGCCCGCAAGUUACUGCAUCAGGAGGGAUGAUGCCUCCUUCCUGUCAAUCACCAUCGCAUAAACAGAUCAGAUGCGCCUAUGGCCAUUCCACCAUGGCUGUCCAUUGAAAGUCAACUGGUACAAGAGCACAUAGUAAACACUAGUAUUAGAAUGAACACGUAUAUUUUACACUACCAGCUAAACAGAAAACUACAUUGCAAUAAGUUCAGCUUUCACCCGGCGAAAAUAAGUUCAGCUUUCCAACCCUCCCAUCUAGAAUACUUGACCCAGGAAUUCUCACUACUACUCCGAUAGUUCAAAUUACUUCCCAGAUUUCAGCUUUAGAACUACCCACACACUAUGUUGACACGCCUACAUCAUAGUAAAAAACGAUGCUAAACCAACUGAUGUAACAUCAAAGAAUUCAUUGCGUGGGUCAAGCCGCUUACUCUUCCAUGCCUUGAUCCUCUUGACUGCCAGCCUACAUAAGGGAAAUUAAAAAAAAAAAAGGAGACACCACUGCUAACUUAGCAAUACAUAUUGAGAUAAAUAAUGCAUGUGUGUUCAAUCUGAAAUGAUGUUCAGAGUUCAGACAUACAAGAUUGUUGAUCCCCAUAGUAUUCUACUACUAGUGAUAAUAACUGGCAUAGCUUUAGCUAAAAAAAGAAUCACAUAGACUGUAGUGCUCAAACUAAACAACUUGAGUACAUAUUAUUUCAAGUUUUUUUUGUGUGUUCAGCGAUGUGAAAAACAAUUUAAAGGGUUAACACAGCAUCCGCAUUGGAUUGACUACAAUGAAUUGUUCUGCAACACCCCAUCCUUACUCACCUUGUGAAUUCCUAAAGCUUAAGAGUCAUUAGCUUUGCCUUCUGUCGUGAGGAACUUUCUCUUGCAGCCCACCUCAUGCCCUCAGUUCCUUUAGAGAUGCCAGUGAACACUGCAUGCCUUGCAGCAAGCACUUCGGUCAGUAUCAAGAGCAAAACAUAAUUAUAGCAUCAGAAUCAAAGGCAAAGCAUAAUUAUAGCAAACAGGUAAGUUUUUCAUGCACUAAUGAACUUCAUUGCCAGAUGAAAUAGAUAUUGUGGAACAUCCAUUUAGUAAGGUUCAUCAGUUUAAGUUUACUAGCUCAAUAUUAAUUUAACUAAUCCGAGCCAGAGGAAGGCAACAAAACUAAGUUAUGAUCACAAUUCACAAAGGCAGAUAUAGAAAUCCUGCACACAACAAAAGGUUGAGCUUGGAGGAAAACAAAGCUGCCAUGCCACCAAAAGGACUGCAAGUGACCUGUCAUCAUCAAGUUAAUUUACAAACACCGUAUGCAAAUUCAUAAACCUCAUCCUUAAAUAAAACGAACACCUACCCAAAUCUGUGUCAAAAAAACAAACACACCUACCCAAAUUCAGCCUAAAAAAAUGCAGGGAGUCAGGUGCCCUAUUUGCAUAUGGUCAUAUACGCUAGUGCGCCACACUGUGGCUUAGGAAUAAUCAAUACGUCAAGAGACUGAUGCACAUGGUUUGUGAUAGGCUACAGGAGACCAAAAAAAAAACUAUGUAGUUUGUUAAAGCAUUAAGUAAACAUCAAGUGAAUGUGCUAUAUGCCUAUUUCCACUCAAUUGUUUUCAGAAAAAGCUACAGGAACAAAAAGAGAUAAAAAAAAGACAAGUGCAAAACCACAACAUUGACAGCUUUCAAUCUGCUGUAUUUUACUUCAAAUGACAAACUAAAGGCAUGGAGUUCCUCAUGGCAGGCUUGUUGGUACUAUACUUAAGAACAUUGAAUGAUGAGUCAUACAGUCAAAUCCUUUUUAGAAUAACAUGGCCAAAAAUCCCAGCUCCAUUUAACUGAAGCUAUUACAGCAGUUUAAAUGUAGUCAAAUCUCCCGGUUUCGAAGUCUGGACUACACAGAGUCAACCACUUAAAUUUAUCACUACUCACUAGGGCACGUGCAAAAACGGAAUAUUCAAUAUAUCAGUUCCAAGAGGGCUUCCCAGUCAUGGAUUGAGUAUUGUCUCAAAUAAGAAGAAAUGUAAACCUGAAAGAUAGAUCCUGGGUAACGAUAAUAAGCAGUUAAACGAGAAGAAACAAGUUGCGUGAGUCAUCCUUUCUCACUUGCAUUACAAACUGAAAUCAAACAUUUUCAUUGCGCACGAUCACAUACUUUCUUCUUACUUCCACUCCCCACCAAAAAGGAUAAAAGAAAAAAAGAAGACUUAAAGUUCAAAGGACUAGCUCUGUAAGGUAGAAGCAGCUCAAUGGAUCGGUCUGAAUGGAUCACUGCAUUCCAGCUGGCUGCGCUAACCUCUUCCUAGCAAGAUCUGAAGAUAUGCAAAGAAUAGAACUCAUAACCAUAUAUAAUAGCUCAACAUGAACACCCAAAUAAGGCAUGCAAUACUUUUUGGGGAAGUAUAAAUGUAUAAUAGAUCAAGUCAUCAAGAUAUGCCUAGGCAAUUUAGCUAAUUUCAGGAACAUUUCGUAACAUGUACUAGAACCAAACAAAAAAUUGGGUAAGAACAACAGAGAUCUAUGUGAUAUGUGACAUUGAAUUUUGAUAUAUAUAUAUAUAUAUAUAUAUAUAUAUAUAUAUAUAUAUAUAUAUAUAUAUAUAUAUAUAAACACUGUUCUGAAGCACAGGGCAUAUAUGUGGUAACCCAUACUUUUUAAGCCACUAACUCAAACAAUGCCUAGUCUGAAUUUUUGAAAUUUCAACUAAGGCAAGCUGUACAAGAUCUAGGCUAUUACCUGAAGUGUAGAAGCUCAUGUAGGGAAUGACGGCAUAGUAGGGCCUGCUCUCACCAACCUUCUUCACUUGGCCUGAUUUGAGCUCAAUUGCAAACAAGUCAACAUCUGUCAACAUGAAAAUUAUAUCUGUGCCUUCUGCGAAACCAACCAGACCACCUGAGUAAAAGAAGUUAGGGAUCAGCAUGUCCAACUCAAUUAUCCUGGAUUGUUCCCAUUCCUCAAUGCCAUCAUAACACACAUACUGCGACCACAGUACGAGGCCGCAAGCUUCCACAGUAGCAAAUCACAGCCCACCAUAUUCUGAUUCUAUGAGGAUGCCACCAUCAUGCCCCAAUGGUGGGUCGAUCUCUGAAAGCUCAUGCUUGCCAAUGUCAUAUCCCAGAAUUUUCGUGCCAUACUCACAGUAGAAGUAGAGUGUGUUUUCGGCGAGGACGCUGGGCAACAUCUCAACAUAGGAAUCGAGCACAAUGGAGGCCUGCGAGCUCCACUCUCCAGUCUUCGACGAGUAUACACACGCCCAUGAGUGAUCAUGCCUUCCUGUGCCCACGAAGACGACGAGGAAGGGGCCUUGGUGACAGUCCAGAUGGUGGCAGUCGCUUGCAGCGCAUAGCACGGCGCCAGUGCAGUAGGCGUGCGGGUGCGGGGGCAGAGGAAAGCGAUGCUGGUCGCCGGUGAUGGGGUCCCAGACCAUGAGUUCCAUGGGAUUGAAGAGGUGGGAGAGGACCCGGCCGUGGCGGCAGUCGAGCGCCCACCACCAGUUGGGGGGAUCGAUGGCCGGUGGGGAGAAUGGCGACGCGGCGGUAGUGGGGACGAAGCGGGGGACGGAGGAGAUCGCCUUGUUGCCGUCAACGUUGUGGAGGAAGCCGAGCACGGGAGGUGUUCGGUGGAAUGCGCGGUAGCGGCGGAGGAAGGCGGGGUCGGUGAGGAUGCGACGCCAGGGCUUGCAGACGAGGGAGGCGUGGACGAGGUGCGCGGGUUCAUCCGGCGGGAUGCGGAGGAGGAUCUCGGCGGCGAUGUCGUCGAUCAACUCCGGCGCCGACGCCAUGCGGGAGGACGCGGCUCGCUCGCCGUCGCUGGAGCGAGGGUUUGGGUGGGAGAGGAGGAGGUGAACUCGGACUCGCGGCUACUUGGUGCGGUUCGACCGUCGCGGGAAGGGAGUCGCUGUCAAGUGGGGCCCACGAGGCAGUGAGAGUGAGACUCAUGGUUUGAAAGAACUACAGUUCUUCCAUUUUCAAGCGAGUAUCAAAUAUUCACAUGUUAAAAAUGGAUUCCCCAAAAUUACACCGAACUCAAAAAAAAACCCGAGAAGAUUAGUAUUCCCCAAAAUUAACUGUACGUCUGUACCGAUAAAUUAAUAAGUAUACCUUAAUUAAACAUGCAAAACAGUGAAUUUUUUUAAUAUAUCCGAACAAAUACAGGAAUAUACUCAUAUGUGACUGUGUUUGCAAUACAGAGAUACAACAGUACAUGGUGAUGUAAGAAAGUGGCUUUAAGCCUUUUACAUAAUUUAGACGAUAGGAGUAGCCGACUCAUUAGACCUUAGUUCUUACUCCCCGAGAGCAAAAGCAGUGGCAUCGAAGGUAUCAGAGAGCCCAGUUCCAGUCUUGAAGGUGACCUUCUCCGGCGAGGCAUCGGCGACGUAGACCUCGACGACGCUGAGCCAGAGCAGCAGCUCCUUGGUCUUCACGCCGGUGAUCUUCUUCAGCUUCCCCUUCUCGACGAACGCCGUGACCUCGCCGGCGUAGGAGACGGUCUGCUUGAUCUUCUUGAAGGUGUGCUCGAUCUUCUUCUUCCUCUGCACCAGCCACAUGAAUCCUGUUUCCUUGUUGUAGCCAAACUCCUCGAUGUCCUCCAAUGGCAGGAGGC
RNAcentral lists this long non-coding RNA (9978 nucleotides) under Oryza sativa (Asian cultivated rice). Its description in RNAcentral is "long non-coding RNA (OSAT_LNC001265)". The record is from RNAcentral. Lineage: Eukaryota; Viridiplantae; Streptophyta; Magnoliopsida; Poales; Poaceae.